AAAAAGGUAAGCUAAAUAAAGCUACUGGGCUCAUACCCCAUUAAUGGAUUUAACACACCCCUUUUUA
This 67-nucleotide transfer RNA is filed under the name Teredorus hainanensis. Its description in RNAcentral is "tRNA-Met". Lineage: Eukaryota; Metazoa; Arthropoda; Insecta; Orthoptera; Tetrigidae. The record is from RNAcentral.